Molecule: long non-coding RNA, 881 nt
Filed under: Olea europaea (common olive)
Lineage: Eukaryota; Viridiplantae; Streptophyta; Magnoliopsida; Lamiales; Oleaceae
Description: long non-coding RNA (OEUR_LNC001983)
Source: RNAcentral
UACUCAAUUCUUAUCUUGAAUUAAUUUAUUCUAGAUCAACAACUAAAGACCAAGAUUCGAUUCAAUCAAUAAUGUUAGGCAGACAGGGGCAAAGGACAGGGUAUUGACAAGGACUUAAAAAUUUUUGACGUGGCUACAUUGUUUGAAACCGCCAAAAAAUAAAAAUAAAAAAAAUUAUUGAAAGUUAACACGUGAAGCCAAAGGGAGAAAGCACCCAUUUACACUCAAUAAGGAGAAAAUCCUCCCAUCCAAGCUCGGCUAUCGCCUCAGUCGGAGGGCAGCACUUCCAACAUCGAUCGUCAACAUUUUCAGCCACACUUCGAUCGCACCCAUUUGCCCCAAAUUACGCACUUUCCAUCUCCACCAUUUGGACACUUAGACGGGAAAGCACGGCAAAGGAAAAUCAAACAAAAGGUGCAAAUUUCUUCUGUCGUUCAACAACAGCAACUUCUUAGGUACAGUAUUCAUCACAUAUGCAAAGAUUUACAGGUCCACAAACACAAAUUAUUGUUUGAACAACUGAAUCUCCAUAGUGAAAGUGUAUAGUUCACAAACCUAGAGCAUGCAGUUCCUACAGUGUGUGUAAAAAGCCAUUACCAAUAUUCUUGAUGUCCGUAAAAUAACCCAAAAAUCUCAAUUUAUGUGUAUUUUUGCCGAUGUGUUACUAGCUUAACUUAGAUUUAUUGUAUCUUAAUAUGGGUUUUUCUCAAGGCCCAGUUCGUAAAAAUGCAGAAAAAGGCAGAGGGAUUGGGACGAUUCGACUAGCUCAGUCUUUGCGUGAUUUUGCAUCCUUUGGUGAUGUGGGUGAGAUUCAAGGAUUUGAUUUCGCAGAAUGGUUGAAGAAUACAGUGUCAGAGAGUGACUAUGUGGUAAUGAAGAUG